Molecule: long non-coding RNA, 672 nt
Filed under: Marmota monax (woodchuck)
Lineage: Eukaryota; Metazoa; Chordata; Mammalia; Rodentia; Sciuridae
Source: RNAcentral
GUCUGGGCAACUUAGAUCCUGUCUCAAAAUAAAAUUUUAAAAAGGGCUGGGAUGUAGCUCAGUGAUAGAGUGCUUGCCUAGCAUGAGCAACGCCCUGGGUUUGAUCUGUAAGGAAUAAGCAGCAAAAAUUUCUCUGUCAUACGAAAGCAUAUGUCUCCCAUUAUACUUUUUUGGUAAAACUUAUUCCUCAGUUUUUACAAAAAAAAAUGGAAUUGAUCAGGACCUAAAUGUAGGAGCUAAUAUAUAAAACUCUUAUAAGGAUACACAGGUACAAAUCUUCUAAUCUUGGACACCAAAGCACAAGAAACAAAGGGAAGAACAGGCAAAUUGGAUAUCUUCAAAAUUAAAAACUUCCAUGCUUCAAAGGAUACGAGUAAGUGAAAAGUCAACUUAGAGAAUGGAAAAAAAUUGCAAAUCAUAUAUUUAGGAAUUAAAAUGUAUAAAAACUGUUUCAACUUAAAAGGAUAACUCAGUAAUAAAAAGACAACCCAAUAGUAAAUUGAUUUAAAGAUAUGACUAGAUACUCCUCCAAAGAAAAUUUUUAAAAUGUGCAUAAGGACAUGAAAAAAUGCUUGACAUAAUAAGCUAGGAAAUGCAAAUCAAACCCACAAUUAGACACCUCUUCACACCUACUGGGCUAUCUACAAUAUGAAGGCACAUAAUAAAAAAAAU